RNAcentral lists this ribosomal RNA (377 nucleotides) under uncultured bacterium. RNAcentral's name for it is "bacterial SSU rRNA". It matches the Rfam family "Bacterial small subunit ribosomal RNA", at positions 133 to 507 of the family's 1533-position model. The record is from RNAcentral.
UAAGGCGGGACACCUCGUAGGAACGGUAUUAACUACCGCAUAAUAUGCCGAAGUCGCAUGACUUUGGUAUUAAAGCAGCAAUGCACUUAGAGAUGAGUGUGCGUCCCAUUAGGUAGUUGGUGAGGUAACGGCUCACCAAGCCUAUGAUGGGUAGCCGGUCUGAGAGGAUGGUCGGCCACACGGGCACUGAGACACGGGCCCGACUCCUACGGGAGGCAGCAGUAAGGAAUAUUGGUCAAUGGUGGAAACACUGAACCAGCCAUGCCGCGUGGAGGAAUAAGGUCCUACGGAUUGUAAACUCCUUUUGACGAGGAAGAAAAUGUUAGAUUUAUCUAAUUUUGACGGUACUCGUAGAAUAAGCACCGGCUAACUCCGUG